AUAACAGCCUUUCGAAGUAUCUGAUGCAUGCCGAUCUAAGGAAUGAAACCUAAAGACAUGGGGAACUAAUGAUUUCGGCCUCUAUCGUUCGUCGUACCUGCUGUAUCUGGAGUUCUCGGUCCAGCAGCUUCUGUCCAGUCAGUUUCAUUGGGAACUCGGUCCGGGGAAGGAGCACUGAGUCUCGGUACAAACCCUGAGCAGGGGCUGCCUCGGCGGGCUGAGCGCUGCCUUCUCCUGAACUCCCACCGCGGGUGGAGCUGAAGGAGAGAGCACGGUGGAGGAGGCCACCUCCCCGGUGUGACCUCCGUCCCCAUCUCGCUAGCGUCUGGCUUACUGCCGAAACCCGGCACAGCAGCAUGGAGGGGCGAAGUAGCUCUGUGGCCAAGCAAAACCACAAA
Long non-coding RNA from Etheostoma spectabile (orangethroat darter), 398 nucleotides. RefSeq lists it as uncharacterized. NCBI's taxonomy places the organism in Eukaryota, Metazoa, Chordata, Actinopteri, Perciformes, Percidae. The transcript is spliced from 2 exons. The record is from RefSeq and is a predicted model, not a curated record.